AACGAACGCUGGCGGCAUGCCUAACACAUGCAAGUCGAACGAGACCUUCGGGUCUAGUGGCGCACGGGUGCGUAACGCGUGGGAACCUGCCCUUAGGUUCGGAAUAACUCCCCGAAAGGGGUGCUAAUACCGGAUAAUGUCUUCGGACCAAAGAUUUAUCGCCUUUGGAUGGGCCCGCGUUGGAUUAGCUAGUUGGUAGGGUAAAAGCCUACCAAGGCGACGAUCCAUAGCUGGUCUGAGAGGAUGAUCAGCCACACUGGGACUGAGACACGGCCCAGACUCCUACGGGAGGCAGCAGUGGGGAAUAUUGGACAAGGGGCGAAAGCCUGAUCCAGCAAUGCCGCGUGAGUGAUGAAGGCCUAAGGGUUGUAAAGCUCUUUUACCCGGGAUGAUAAUGACAGUACCGGGAGAAUAAGCUCCGGCUAACUCCG
This 431-nucleotide ribosomal RNA is filed under the name uncultured bacterium. Its description in RNAcentral is "partial 16S ribosomal RNA". It matches the Rfam family "Bacterial small subunit ribosomal RNA", at positions 29 to 505 of the family's 1533-position model. The record is from RNAcentral.